UCACCAUGUUAAAUCCGUGUCAAUGUCUAAUUUUACUUCACAAGAAGUUGAAGCCCUUAAAGAAGGCAGUAAUCAGCGUGCAAUGGAAACAUUUAUAAGAGAUUGGGACCCACGAGAACAUAGACUUCUACAUAACAGGUGAUGCACUUUUAUACUUUUACGUUUUUACAUUUAGUGUUUGAGUAGAAAGAAUGUUAAUUUAGUUUUUUAUGCAUGCUCGCUAUUACAGCAAUGUGGAGAAAGUUUGAGAUAUUAUAAAGAGUGUCUACGUGGAUAAGAAGUUUUUCACUUCAAAGGCGUCCGGAAAACCUCCUAGAGAUGCAAUGGAUGGUUCGGUUCUAUAUUGGAUGUGAUGGAAGUUGUUUUGAAGGCAUUUGCACCAAGGAGGUACUAUGAAAUCGACCUCCA
Helianthus annuus (common sunflower) is the source of this 408-nucleotide long non-coding RNA. RefSeq lists it as uncharacterized. The record is from RefSeq and is a predicted model, not a curated record. The transcript has 3 exons. Lineage: Eukaryota; Viridiplantae; Streptophyta; Magnoliopsida; Asterales; Asteraceae.